UACAGAGGUCUCAAGCGUUGUUCGGAUUCAUUGGGCGUAAAGGGCGCGUAGGCGGCCGCGUAAGUCCGGGGUGAAAUCCCCCAGCCCAACUGGGGAAGUGCCUUGGAUACUGCGUGGCUCGAGCGGGGUAGGGGCAUGUGGAACUUCCGGUGGAGCGGUGAAAUGCGUAGAUAUCGGAAGGAACGCCGGUGGCGAAAGCGACGUGCUGGACCCCCCCUGACGCUGAGGCGCGAAAGCCAGGGGAGCGAACGGG
Molecule: ribosomal RNA, 253 nt
Filed under: uncultured bacterium
Lineage: Bacteria
Description: partial 16S ribosomal RNA
Rfam family: Bacterial small subunit ribosomal RNA
Source: RNAcentral